UCAAGUUAUUAAGGGUGCAGGGCGGAUGCCUUGGCACUAGGAGCCGAUGAAGGACGUGAUAAGCUGCGAUAAGCUUCGGGGAGUUGCACGUAAACUUUGAUCCGAAGAUUUCCGAAUGAGGAAACUCACUUAGAGUAAUGUCUAAGUAUCAUUAAGUGAAUACAUAGCUUAAUGAGGGGAACUCAGGGAACUGAAACAUCUAAGUACCUGAAGGAAGAGAAAGAAAUUCGAUUCCGUAAGUAGCGGCGAGCGAACGCGGAUUAGCCCAAACCAAUAAAGUUUUCUUUAUUGGGGUUGCGGACAUAUCAUAACGAAGAGGUAUCGUAAUUGAAGAGGUUUGGAAAGACCCACCACAGAAGGUAAUAGUCCUGUAUGUUAAACGAGAAGACUUCAGAUAUGAUCCAGAGUACCACGGGACACGUGAAAUCCUGUGGGAAGCAGGAGGGACCACCCUCCAAGGCUAAAUACUACCUAGUGACCGAUAGCGUAUAGUACCGUGAGGGAAAGGUGAAAAGAACCCCGGGAGGGGAGUGAAAUAGAACCUGAAACCCUGCACUUACAAGCUGUGGAAGCACAUUUCUUGUGUGACCGCGUACUUUUUGUAGAACGGGCCAACGAGUUACGUUAAGUAGCAAGGUUAAGCACUUAAGGUGUGGAGCCGUAGCGAAAGCGAGUUUUAACUGAGCGUUCAGUUACUUGACGUAGACCCGAAACCGGGCGACCUACCCAUGAGCAGGAUGAAGCGAAAGUAAAAUUUCGUGGAGGUCCGAACCCACGAGCGUUGAAAAGCUCGGGGAUGACUUGUGGGUAGCGGUGAAAUUCCAAUCGAGCCCGGAGAUAGCUGGUUCUCCCCGAAAUAGCUUUAGGGCUAGCCUCAAGGUGAGAGAUACGGAGGUAGAGCACUGAAUGUCCUAGGGGGUAUUGCACCUACCGAAGACUAUCAAACUCCGAAUGCCGUCAUCUUAUACUUGGGAGUCAGACUGUGGGUGAUAAGAUUCAUAGUCGAAAGGGCAACAGCCCAGAUCGUCAGCUAAGGUCCCUAAAUGUAAGUUAAGUGGUAAAGGAUGUGGGAUUGCACAGACAACCAGGAUGUUGGCUUAGAAGCAGCCACUCAUUCAAAGAGUGCGUAAUAGCUCACUGGUCGAGUGAUCCUGCGCCGAAGAUUUCCGGGGCUAAAACUUACUACCGAAGCUACGGCAUCAGUAAUGAUGGGUAGGGGAGCUUCCCAUACGGGUUGAAGCAUGACCGUAAGGACAUGUGGACAGUAUGGGAGUGAGAAUGUUGGCAUGAGUAGCGAGAUGUGGGUGAGAAUCCCACAGGCCGUAAACCCAAGGUUUCCAGGGGAAGGUUCGUCCGCCCUGGGUUAGUCGGGACCUAAGCUGAGGCCGAAAGGCGUAGGUGAUGGACAACAGGUUGAUAUUCCUGUACUACCGAUAACCGUUUGAGAGAAGGGAUGACACAGUAGGAUAAGCUAAGCACACUGUUGGUUAUGUGUGCCCAAGCAUUGAGGCAGUCAAAGUAGGCAAAUCCGCUUUGAUAAUGCUGGGAUGUGAUGGGGAGCGAAAUUUAGUAGCGAAGUAGCUGAUUUCACACUGUCAAGAAAAGUCUCUAUCGAGGUUAAAGGUACCCGUACCGCAAACCGACACAGGUGGGUGAGGAGAGUAUCCUAAGGCCAGCGAGAGAACUGUUGUUAAGGAACUCGGCAAAAUGACCCCGUAACUUAGGGAUAAGGGGUGCCACCAUCAGGUGGCCGCAGAGAAUAGGCCCAAGCGACUGUUUACCAAAAACAUAGGUUUCUGCUAAGUCGCAAGACGAUGUAUAGGAGCUGACGCCUGCCCGGUGCUGGAAGGUUAAGGGGAUCUGUUAGAGCAAUCGAAGCAGUGAACUUAAGCCCCAGUAAACGGCGGCCGUAACUAUAACGGUCCUAAGGUAGCGAAAUUCCUUGUCGGGUAAGUUCCGACCCGCACGAAAGGCGUAACGAUUUGGGCACUGUCUCAACAACAGACUCGGUGAAAUUGUAAUUCCGGUGAAGAUGCCGGAUACCUGCGACAGGACGGAAAGACCCCAUGGAGCUUUACUGUAGCUUGACAUUGGGUCUUGGUACUACAUGUACAGGAUAGGUGGGAGGCUUUGAAACCAGGACGCCAGUUUUGGCGGAGCCAUCCUUGGGAUACCACCCUUGUAGUACUGGGACUCUAACCAUAGGCCAUGAAUCUGGUCUUGGGACACUGUCAGGUGGGCAGUUUGACUGGGGCGGUCGCCUCCCAAAAGGUAACGGAGGCGCUCAAAGGUUCUCUCAGUACGGUCGGAAAUCGUACGUAGAGUGUAAAGGCAAAAGAGAGCUUGAUUGCAAGACAUACAGGUCGAGCAAGGAUGAAAAUCGGACUUAGUGAUCCGGUGGUUCUGCGUGGAAGGGCCAUCGCUCAACGGAUAAAAGCUACCCUGGGGAUAACAGGCUUAUCUCCCCCAAGAGUCCACAUCGACGGGGAGGUUUGGCACCUCGAUGUCGGCUCAUCACAUCCUGGGGCUGUAGUAGGUCCCAAGGGUUGGGCUGUUCGCCCAUUAAAGUGGUACGCGAGCUGGGUUCAGAACGUCGUGAGACAGUUCGGUCCCUAUCCGUCGCAGGCGUAGGAAAUUUGAGAAGACCUGUCCUUAGUACGAGAGGACCGGGAUGGACGUACCUCUGGUGUACCAGUUGUUCUGCCAAGGGCAUGGCUGGGUAGCUAUGUACGGAAUGGAUAAGCGCUGAAAGCAUCUAAGCGCGAAGCCAACUUCAAGAUAAGAUUUCCCACCGCAAGGGUAAGACCCCAGAAAGACUAUCUGGUUGAUAGGUCGAAGGUGUAAGUGCAGCAAUGUAUUUAGCUUAUCGAUACUAAUAGGUCGAGGACUUGACCAA
Molecule: ribosomal RNA, 2896 nt
Filed under: Clostridioides difficile
Lineage: Bacteria; Bacillati; Bacillota; Clostridia; Peptostreptococcales; Peptostreptococcaceae
Description: 23S ribosomal RNA
Rfam family: Bacterial large subunit ribosomal RNA
Source: RNAcentral